RNAcentral lists this ribosomal RNA (715 nucleotides) under uncultured bacterium. Its description in RNAcentral is "bacterial SSU rRNA". It matches the Rfam family "Bacterial small subunit ribosomal RNA", at positions 49 to 758 of the family's 1533-position model. The record is from RNAcentral.
UAACACAUGCAAGUCGAGCGGAGAUGAGGUGCUUGCACCUUAUCUUAGCGGCGGACGGGUGAGUAAUGCUUAGGAAUCUGCCUAUUAGUGGGGGACAACAUUCCGAAAGGAAUGCUAAUACCGCAUACGUCCUACGGGAGAAAGCAGGGGAUCUUCGGACCUUGCGCUAAUAGAUGAGCCUAAGUCGGAUUAGCUAGUUGGUGGGGUAAAGGCCUACCAAGGCGACGAUCUGUAGCGGGUCUGAGAGGAUGAUCCGCCACACUGGGACUGAGACACGGCCCAGACUCCUACGGGAGGCAGCAGUGGGGAAUAUUGGACAAUGGGGGGAACCCUGAUCCAGCCAUGCCGCGUGUGUGAAGAAGGCCUUAUGGUUGUAAAGCACUUUAAGCGAGGAGGAGGCUACUGAGACUAAUACUCUUGGAUAGUGGACGUUACUCGCAGAAUAAGCACCGGCUAACUCUGUGCCAGCAGCCGCGGUAAUACAGAGGGUGCGAGCGUUAAUCGGAUUUACUGGGCGUAAAGCGUGCGUAGGCGGCUUUUUAAGUCGGAUGUGAAAUCCCCGAGCUUAACUUGGGAAUUGCAUUCGAUACUGGGAAGCUAGAGUAUGGGAGAGGAUGGUAGAAUUCCAGGUGUAGCGGUGAAAUGCGUAGAGAUCUGGAGGAAUACCGAUGGCGAAGGCAGCCAUCUGGCCUAAUACUGACGCUGAGGUACGAAA